CUAUACCUACAGUUGAUGAUAAUGAAAAUUUCUGGAAGGGAUUAAAAACUGCCAUUCUCUCAGCAUGUGCUGAGUCCAUUGGCUAUGUCACCUGCCAUCACCAAGAUUGGUUUGAUGAGGACGAUGCUAAGAUUCAGG
This is a long non-coding RNA of Dermochelys coriacea (leatherback sea turtle), 138 nucleotides long. RefSeq lists it as uncharacterized. The transcript has 3 exons. Lineage: Eukaryota; Metazoa; Chordata; Testudines; Dermochelyidae. The record is from RefSeq and is a predicted model, not a curated record.